GAUGAACGCUGACAGAAUGCUUAACACAUGCAAGUCCACUUGAACUUCGGUUUGGGUGGCGGACGGGUGAGUAACGCGUAAAGAACUUGCCUCACAGAUAGGGACAACAUUUGGAAACGAAUGCUAAUACCUGAUAUUAUGAUUAUAUGGCAUCGUAUAAUUAUGACAGCUAUAUGCGCUGUGAGAGAGCUUUGCGUCCCAUUAGCUAGUUGGAGAGGUAACGGCUCACCAAGGCGAUGAUGGGUAGCCGGCCUGAGAGGGUGAUCGGCCACACGGGGACUGAGGCACGGCCAUUACGCCUACGGGAGGCAGCAGUGGGGAAUAGUGGACAAUGGACCAAGAGUCUGAUCCAGCAAUUCUGUGUGCACGAUGAAGUUUUUCGGAAUGUAAAGUGCUUUCAGUUGGGAAGAAAAAAAUGACGGUACCAACAGAAGAAGUGACGGCUAAAUACGUG
RNAcentral lists this ribosomal RNA (454 nucleotides) under uncultured bacterium. RNAcentral's name for it is "partial 16S ribosomal RNA". It matches the Rfam family "Bacterial small subunit ribosomal RNA", at positions 28 to 507 of the family's 1533-position model. The record is from RNAcentral.